UCAUGAGAACCGAUUGCUAGAAAUAGAGGAAAGUCCGGGCAUCCACAAUCUGUGAUGAUUGUAGUGUUUGUACUGCAUCUAAUAAAUGCAGGUAGCUUAGCUAACGACAGACCUAAGACCUAAGCCAUUCAGGUAUGGUUGAUAAGUCAUAAAGUGCCACAGAAACUAUGUCUUUUGAAAAAAGAGUGAAAAGAGGUAAACUCUGCAAGGAUGAAACCCAAAUUAUGGUAGGGGAGUUUCAUGUAAGGAAACGAACGAACAUGAAGAUGCAAUGCAUAGAUAAAUAAUCGGUUGAAAAACAGAACUCGGCUUAUCA
RNAcentral lists this RNase P RNA (316 nucleotides) under Allocoprobacillus halotolerans. RNAcentral describes it as "Erysipelotrichaceae bacterium LH1062 RNase P RNA component class B". It matches the Rfam family "Bacterial RNase P class B". From Rfam's summary of the family: Ribonuclease P (RNase P) is a ubiquitous endoribonuclease, found in archaea, bacteria and eukarya as well as chloroplasts and mitochondria. Its best characterised activity is the generation of mature 5'-ends of tRNAs by cleaving the 5'-leader elements of precursor-tRNAs. Lineage: Bacteria; Bacillati; Bacillota; Erysipelotrichia; Erysipelotrichales; Erysipelotrichaceae. The record is from RNAcentral.